Non-coding RNA from Podarcis lilfordi (Lilford's wall lizard), 76 nucleotides. Lineage: Eukaryota; Metazoa; Chordata; Lepidosauria; Squamata; Lacertidae. The record is from the annotation of a GenBank genome assembly.
UCCCAUCCAGCUCAGUUGGUUAGAGCAUGGAGCUGAUAAUACCAAGGUUUGCAGGUUCAAUCCCCAUAUGGGACAG